Molecule: ribosomal RNA, 756 nt
Filed under: Opisthacidius chinai
Lineage: Eukaryota; Metazoa; Arthropoda; Insecta; Hemiptera; Reduviidae
Also listed under: 1 other name
Description: SSU rRNA
Rfam family: Eukaryotic small subunit ribosomal RNA
Source: RNAcentral
AAUAACGAUACGGGACUCUAUUGAGGCCCCGUAAUCGGAAUGAGUACACUUUAAAUCCUUUAACAAGGAUCCAUUGGAGGGCAAGUCUGGUGCCAGCAGCCGCGGUAAUUCCAGCUCCAAUAGCGUAUAUUAAAGUUGUUGCGGUUAAAAAGCUCGUAGUUGGUUCUGCGUGCCGCGCUGUCGGUUCGCCGCCUGUCGGUGUAACUGGCAUGUCGCGGCAUGUCCUGUCGGUGGUGAACGGGGUCCACAAUGCUGCAUAGGCUUUUAUAGCCGAUGUUAGCGUCGUGUGCACUUCCGUUGGCCGAUCUCUCCUACUUCGGUGCUCUUAAACGAGUGUCGAGGUAGGCCGACACGUUCACUUUGAACAAAUUAGAGUGCUUAAAGCAGGCUGAAAUAUCUGCCUGAAUAGUGGUGCAUGGAAUGAUAAAACAGGACCUCGGUUCUAUUUUGUUGGUUUUAGGAAUAUGAGGUAAUGAUCAAUGUGGACUGGCGGGGGCAUUCGUAUUGCGACGUUAGAGGUGAAAUUCUUGGAUCGUCGCAAGACGCACUAGAGCGAAAGCAUUUGCCAAGUAUGUCUUAAUUGAUCAAGAACGAAAGUUAGAGGUUCGAAGGCGAUCAGAUACCGCCCUAGUUCUAACCAUAAACGAUGCCAGCCAGCGAUCCGCCGAUGUUCCUUUAAUGACUCGGCGGGGAGCUUCUACCCGGGAAACCAAAGCUUUUGGGUUCCGGGGGAAGUAUGGUUGCAAAGCUGAAACU